RNAcentral lists this ribosomal RNA (468 nucleotides) under uncultured bacterium. Its description in RNAcentral is "partial 16S ribosomal RNA". It matches the Rfam family "Bacterial small subunit ribosomal RNA", at positions 28 to 507 of the family's 1533-position model. The record is from RNAcentral.
GACGAACGCUGGCGGCGUGCUUAACACAUGCAAGUCGAACGGAAAGGCCCUGCUUUUGUGGGGUUCUCGAGUGGCGAACGUGUGAGUAACACGUGAGUAACCUUCCCUUGACUUUUGGAUAACUUCAGGAAACUUGUGCUAAUACCGUAUAUGAGCUCCUGCUGCAUGGUGUUGGUUGGUAAGUUUCGGCGGUUGGGGAUGGACUCGCGGGUUAUCAGCUUGUUGGUGGGGUAGUGGCUUACCAAGGCUUUGACGGGUAGCCGGCAUGAGAGGGUGACCGGCAACAAUGGGACUGAGAGACGGAACAGACUAGUACGGGAGGCAGCAGUGGGGAAUAUUGAAAAAUGGGAGGAAGCAUGAUGAAGAAACGCAGCGUGCGGGAUGAAGGCAUUCGGGUUGUAAAAAGAUGUAGAAUGUGACGAAGAGUGAGUGACGGUAAUGGGUAAAGAAGCACCGGCUAACUACGUG